AAGAAAGAAGCAUUAGUGGGUUAAUGCGAUUGGCUUGAAACCAGUGUAUGAGGGUUCGACUCCUUCCUUUCUUG
This 74-nucleotide transfer RNA is filed under the name Rhinopomastus cyanomelas (common scimitar-bill). Its description in RNAcentral is "tRNA-Ser". It matches the Rfam family "tRNA". Rfam says of the family: Transfer RNA (tRNA) molecules are approximately 80 nucleotides in length. Their secondary structure includes four short double-helical elements and three loops (D, anti-codon, and T loops). Further hydrogen bonds mediate the characteristic L-shaped molecular structure. tRNAs have two regions of fundamental functional importance: the anti-codon, which is responsible for specific mRNA codon recognition, and the 3' end, to which the tRNAs corresponding amino acid is attached (by aminoacyl-tRNA synthetases). tRNAs cope with the degeneracy of the genetic code in two manners: having more than one tRNA (with a specific anti-codon) for a particular amino acid; and 'wobble' base-pairing, i.e. permitting non-standard base-pairing at the 3rd anti-codon position. The record is from RNAcentral. Lineage: Eukaryota; Metazoa; Chordata; Aves; Bucerotiformes; Rhinopomastidae.